RNAcentral lists this transfer RNA (85 nucleotides) under Felis catus (domestic cat). It matches the Rfam family "tRNA". From Rfam's summary of the family: Transfer RNA (tRNA) molecules are approximately 80 nucleotides in length. Their secondary structure includes four short double-helical elements and three loops (D, anti-codon, and T loops). Lineage: Eukaryota; Metazoa; Chordata; Mammalia; Carnivora; Felidae. The record is from Rfam by way of RNAcentral.
GCCUGGGUGGCUCAGUCGGUUGAGCGUCCGACUUCAGCUCAGGUCACGAUCUCACAGUCUGUGGGUUCGAGCCCCGCAUCAGGCU